RNAcentral lists this transfer RNA (84 nucleotides) under Conopholis americana. RNAcentral's name for it is "tRNA-Tyr". It matches the Rfam family "tRNA". From Rfam's summary of the family: Transfer RNA (tRNA) molecules are approximately 80 nucleotides in length. Their secondary structure includes four short double-helical elements and three loops (D, anti-codon, and T loops). The record is from RNAcentral. Lineage: Eukaryota; Viridiplantae; Streptophyta; Magnoliopsida; Lamiales; Orobanchaceae.
GUCGAUGCCCGAGCGGUUAAUGGGGACGGACUGUAAAUUCGUUGGUUAAAUAUGUCUACGCUGGUUCAAAUCCGGCUCGGCCCA